GCUGUGUGUACUAUGUAAUCAAAUUGAUAAAUACACUGAAGGUUAACAGCAGGAACUUUUAGAAAAUAUGACAUUUUGAUGGUCUGUCUUAAUGUCUUUAUUUAAAAGCAUUGAAAUUAAUUAUUCUUGCUUGCUGCUCAGCCAGGGAAAGAAAAGAACUCAGACAUGGGGGUCUUAAAACAGGGCGAUUAUGUGUGGGUGGACUCUAGCACAGGUGUGCCGAUCGGUGCUGAGGUCAGAAUCACAGAAGCAGGCAAAAUUCAACUCAUAGAUGAUGAAGGAAAGGAGCACAAAGUCAAACAGUACAGCUCCCUGAAGCACAUACAUGC
Ictalurus punctatus (channel catfish) is the source of this 329-nucleotide long non-coding RNA. The record is from Ensembl. NCBI's taxonomy places the organism in Eukaryota, Metazoa, Chordata, Actinopteri, Siluriformes, Ictaluridae.